AAUAGAUACCCGGGUAGUCCACGCUGUAAACGAUGAUCACUAGACGUUAGUUCUGUUUGACAGAAUUAGUGUCGUAGCUAACGCGUUAAGUGAUCCACCUGGGGAUUACGGUCGCAAGACUAAAACUCAAAGAAAUUGACGGGGGCCCGCACAAGCGGUGGAACAUGUGGUUUAAUUCGACACUACGCGAGGAACCUUACCUAGGCUUGACAUGCUUUUGACUGCCAUAGAAAUAUGGCUUUCCUGGCUUCGGUCAGGACAAUUGCACAGGUGCUGCAUGGCUGUCGUCAGCUCGUGUCGUGAGAUGUUGGGUUAAGUCCUCUAACGAGCGCAACCCUUGCCGUCAGUUGCUACUUACGUGAGUAAGGCACUCUGAUGGGGACUGCCUGGGAAACCAGGAGGAAGGUGGGGAUGACGUCAAGUCCUCAUGGCCUUUAUGCCUAGGGCGACACCCGUGUUACAAUGGUUGGUACAAAGGGUUGCAAGCUUGUAAAAGUAAGCUAAUCCCGUAAAGCCAAUCUAAGUUCAGAUUG
Molecule: ribosomal RNA, 533 nt
Filed under: uncultured bacterium
Lineage: Bacteria
Description: bacterial SSU rRNA
Rfam family: Bacterial small subunit ribosomal RNA
Source: RNAcentral